GUGGGGAAAUAGGGCUCUUAAAGAAAAAAAGCAAAAAGGAAAAAUUUGCCCCUUUCUUCUCAGUACAGUGCGACCCCCUCCCUCUCGUCCUCAUUCACGCUUGAGCAUUUCCGCCCAGAUGACUGCUUUCGGACAAAGCCACGCCAGCCACUGUUCAUACCUAAGUCGCGCAUCGAUUUAGCCUUGUUGUCACUCAUUCAUGUUACCGCUCAGCACCUGUCGCCAUCAGUUAGAAGCCGCCGCACCUGCCUCUGUCUGCGUCUUCCCUUUUUUCAGUCGCCAAAAUCCUGUGAUUUGGGAUGGAUUUAGGAAUUUGGGGUUGUUAAGGAAGUUAUCCAGCGGAGUAGAGGUUCAUUUUAGGAAGUUUUGGUACUUUUGGAUUGGGUUGCUCAAUUAAAGUGUUGGAAUGGUUUUGGAACAAGCCACAUGUUGGAUCCCACUAUCCCGUUCUAAGGAUGGAAAAUAGUCAAGAAUACUCUCGUGGUGGUCUACGAAUCGUUCAUGAAAAAAUUAGAGUGGAUU
Molecule: long non-coding RNA, 522 nt
Organism: Benincasa hispida (wax gourd)
Lineage: Eukaryota; Viridiplantae; Streptophyta; Magnoliopsida; Cucurbitales; Cucurbitaceae
Source: RefSeq, a predicted model, not a curated record